CUGCCUACGGGACGCAGCAGUGGGGAAUAUUGCACAAUGGGGGAAACCCUGAUGCAGCGACGCCGCGUGAGUGAAGAAGCGUUUCGGCGCGUAAAGCUCUGUCAGCGGGGAAGAAACACGGUUCGCGAGAGCCGCGGACGGUACCCGACCAAGAAGCCCCGGCUAACUACGCGCCAGCAGCCGCGGUAAUACGGAGGAUGCGAGCGUUAUCCGGAUUUAUUGGGUUUAAAGGGUGCGUAGGCGGGAUGCCAAGUCAGCGGUAAAAAUGCGGUGCUCAACGCCGUCGAGCCGUUGAAACUGG
RNAcentral lists this ribosomal RNA (301 nucleotides) under uncultured bacterium. Its description in RNAcentral is "bacterial SSU rRNA". It matches the Rfam family "Bacterial small subunit ribosomal RNA", at positions 335 to 636 of the family's 1533-position model. The record is from RNAcentral.